RNAcentral lists this ribosomal RNA (253 nucleotides) under uncultured bacterium. Its description in RNAcentral is "partial 16S ribosomal RNA". It matches the Rfam family "Bacterial small subunit ribosomal RNA", at positions 524 to 776 of the family's 1533-position model. The record is from RNAcentral.
UACGAACUGUGCAAGCGUUAUUCGGAAUCACUGGGCUUACAGGGUGCGUAGGCGGUCUGUUAAGUAGGGUGUGAAAGCCCCCGGCUCAACCGGGGAAUUGCGCCCUAAACUGGCGGACUGGAGUGAGAUAGGGGUGUGCGGAACUUCCGGUGGAGCGGUGAAAUGUGUUGAUAUCGGAAGGAACGCCGGUGGCGAAAGCGGCACACUGGAUCUCAACUGACGCUGAGGCACGAAAGCCAGGGGAGCGAACGGG